Molecule: long non-coding RNA, 1243 nt
Filed under: Dromaius novaehollandiae (emu)
Lineage: Eukaryota; Metazoa; Chordata; Aves; Casuariiformes; Dromaiidae
Description: lncRNA (ENSDNVG00000011796.1)
Source: RNAcentral
AUGCUUGGUGCCAGGGUCCUUUGUGCCCGAAGAAAUCUUAACGCCGAAGUUAUCUCUAGGCGUCAAGUCUCAAUGCCAUUGUUCCCCGCCGCAACGGAGGCUCCUCUGAUUCCGCAGAUAAACACGGCAGCCGAGGGGGGGAAGCGUGACAAGUUCUCCAAGAACUCCCAGCCGAGCUGCAGGAGCUCUGAGUAGUUUGGGAAGAGGAUUUUCGCUGCUUCCCUAGCUGGAUCCUUGUAGAAGGAGACGCCUUGCCUGGGGCGGGAGCAGAUCUUUGCACUGCAGUCAAAUAUCAGCGUCUGUGUCUGUCUCUAUACACACUGCGCGUCUAACGGGGUUUCUGCUACGCCUGUGUACAUGCGGGGAGUGUGUUAAUGGUAGAUAUGUGUGUACGUGCCUGCCUAUAUAGCGCUUGUACGUAGGUUUGCCUCUGUGCGGGAUUUCCCAUUUGAACCGCAUCAUUCUGAUUUUGGAUUGCAUCCCCCGAAAUCUGAAUCUUUUUUUUCCUGUCCGCUGUGCCAAAAUGCCUCUGUGUAUUUGCAGAACGGGCGAGUCUGUACGAAACGUUUGCAAUGGCAGGAAACGCUGAGAAAAGGCGAUCCUGAACUUCCAGUUCAAUAGAGAUCGCAAAUGCCUGCAAAAUCCUCCCGCAAAGCCCCGAGCCUAGGUACUCGCUCUGCAGUGUGCUGCUCAUGAAAUAGCACUCACUGGUGCCCCUCACUUAAAAAUGACGAUGUCCUUCCUGUUGCAGCUGGGAGUAAGAGCCAGCGAAAUCGUAGCUUUGCUAAUUUGAUUAUGCCGGGAUGGAGGUCUGGGAGUAUUUUUAUUUAGCCACGAUUGCUAAAAGAGUGCUUCAUUCCUAACUCUUCCGAUUUCAUUUUACGAUUUGAUGUGAACGUGUAUUUUUGCCCUGUUUGUGGUCUGUUGCAUCUAUGUAACUCAUUGUGAUCCUUGAACUAUUUGAAACGCGUAUUGUACGAGGCUAAUGCCGCCCCUCACGAGCCUCGUGGCCCGUUUGUAAGAUAUACUUCGGGAAAACUCGCUGUAAAAGGACAAAAAGAGAGGCGAAAGCUCGAGUGUUAUUAUCAAAAAGUUGACCGCGUGAAAAUGUCUGUAAUUUUUUACUAUAUUUUAACUGUUGCUUUCUGUACACCCUUUCCUGACACUUGGAUGCUGGCAGUGAAAAAAAUUUAGAAAAAUACAGGGAAAUAAAAAUACAGACACGUUCUUUUAAACGUUAUUG